This 440-nucleotide ribosomal RNA is filed under the name uncultured bacterium. RNAcentral's name for it is "partial 16S ribosomal RNA". It matches the Rfam family "Bacterial small subunit ribosomal RNA", at positions 338 to 795 of the family's 1533-position model. The record is from RNAcentral.
CCUACGGGAGGCAGCAGUGGGGGAUAUUGGACAAUGGGGGAAACCCUGAUGCAGCGACGCCGCGUGAGUGAAGAAGUAUCUCGGUAUGUAAAGCUCUAUCAGCAGGGAAGAAAAUCACGGUACUUGAUUAGUAAGCCGCGGCUAAUUACGUGCCAGCAGCCGCGGCAAUACGGCGGGGGCAAGCGUCAUCCGGAGUUACUGGGUGUAAAGGGGGCGUAGACGGCAGCACAAGUCUGGAGUGAAAGGCCGGGGCUCAACCCCGGAACUGCUUUGGAAACUGUGGAGCUGGAGGGCAGGAGGGGUAGGCGGAAUUCCUAGUGUAGCGGUGAAAUGCGUAGAUAUUAGGAGGAACACCGGUGGCGAAGGCGGCUUACUGGACUGUAACUGACGUUGAGGCUCGAAAGCGUGGGGAGCAAACAGGAUUAGAUACCCGAGUAGUC